UCUUUAGACCUGUGCAAUGACUACUUUGGCAUCGCUUCAGGGCGGGAACGCAGCAGAGCACUGGAUUAGCUCGUGUGCCGCAGGUAUCUGGGGAAGA
RNAcentral lists this signal recognition particle RNA (97 nucleotides) under Campylobacteraceae bacterium. RNAcentral's name for it is "signal recognition particle sRNA small type". It matches the Rfam family "Bacterial small signal recognition particle RNA". From Rfam's summary of the family: The signal recognition particle (SRP) is a universally conserved ribonucleoprotein involved in the co-translational targeting of proteins to membranes. Lineage: Bacteria; Pseudomonadati; Campylobacterota; Epsilonproteobacteria; Campylobacterales; Campylobacteraceae. The record is from RNAcentral.